CUGCCUUAGGUCCUCCCGGGGGGUCCCUUUUAUACCGCAGGUCAGCUAGUCUCCAAGUAGGACUCGGAGACAUCAGACUCGGUACAAUACAAUGACGACCCAGUUCUAUCCGAGUAGGACUCUUUCCAUCUGUAGACUCCAUGAUGGACUUCCUUAACUUAUGCUGAGAACGUUCGUAUACGCGCAAGCAUACCAUAUCGAUAUGUGACGUAUAUCGAAGGGUAGAGGGUAUACCUUACCCCCGUAACCCUGACAGUAGCCCCCGACUUUUGCUUAAAUGAACUCGUGAGACCGAUCGCGACUUCUGAUGUUGUCGUCGUUCUCGAUGUGAAGACCGAGGGAGAAGGAGUGAUCGACAAUGUCGGGUGAAGCUCAACGGUCAUGAGUGAAUUUAAACUGAAGUCCGAAAAACUGUCGCGCGUAACGGACCCCAAAAUUUCCGGCGGCCAUCUCUCUCCUUUCCUUGGAAUUCGCACUGUCGGAAGUAUGUCUAUUUAAGGGAGUUUUGGGGAUCCCAUUUGAAGUCUGCCUGUUGAAAACUUUCUCUAGCUUCCAAGCGUCCCUCGUCUUCUUCGCUCCCGCAAAAAACCCUAGCUAGCUCAUCUCUAUCCUUUCUCCAGCGAUCCCCGGCGGUGAUGGAUCUCGACAAGUCAACCCCCACCAGUGCGUCACUAAAGGAACUGCAGGAGGAUGGCGCCCUUCCCGGUCACGGGACCGCGGAGAGAGAAGUAGGAGGUACUGAACCCCAGCCUGUCCUGGGUCGCAUAGUUGCGAUCGAGGACUUUAUUCUCUGUGGUUUUCUUCCUCCGCCUUCUGAAUUUCUUCUCUUGGUCUUUAAUUUCUAUGGUCUUUCCUUGCUCCAUUUGAACCCCAAUUCCAUCGCCUUCCUGAGUAUCUUUUCGCAUCUUUGUGAGGCCUACAUUAGGGUAGAGCCGUUUCUUGACCUUUUCCGCUUUUACUAUGAGUUGCGCUGGAUGGAACCCAAAAAGGUGUCCGGGUGUGUUGGUUUCUGACUUCGGGAUGGCCUGAAGUCGCGAUACAUCCCCUUCCAGUGCCCCUCAUCUCGCAGCAAAUGGCGGGGGAGGUGGUUCUAUCUUCAGAUAGAGGAUUCGGAUCCAGUCUUUGUUGUUCCUGAGGAGCAACAAGACAAGAUUCCAUCCUGGACCACCAAACCCGCCUUGACCCCAUCCCUCCAAUCUUUCAUUGAUAUCAUUGAUGACCUCCGAGAACGGGGGUUGUCGGGGUAUGAAGUCGCUGCUGACUUCAUUGGUAGGCGGAUCCAGCAGCUUCAGGCUCGAGCCCAUCCAGCCUUUGAUUAUUCUGGGCCGGAGGACGCAACCCGGGUUUCUCCUCGGGGCUUGGACAUCGCAACCGUGGAGCGCCGCGUUGGCCAACUGAUAAUCAGUGGCUCGACAACAGCGAGCAACGUCCCCGUCCCCCUUUGCGAGAAAGGGGCAGCCGAGCGCGAUGCUGCCAUCAAUGCUCUCCCUCUGAC
This is a non-coding RNA of Oryza sativa Japonica Group (Japanese rice), 1495 nucleotides long. NCBI's taxonomy places the organism in Eukaryota, Viridiplantae, Streptophyta, Magnoliopsida, Poales, Poaceae. The record is from RefSeq and is a predicted model, not a curated record.